Molecule: long non-coding RNA, 693 nt
Organism: Aedes albopictus (Asian tiger mosquito)
Lineage: Eukaryota; Metazoa; Arthropoda; Insecta; Diptera; Culicidae
Exons: 2
Source: RefSeq, a predicted model, not a curated record
AUAAAAACCAACCAUAGGGUGUAUGGUGAAAACCAUUCCUGCACCAUACAGUGUACCAGCUACAAUAAAGUGUAUUGUAAUGAAAUGGUUCGCUAUACUAUACAUUUACAUUGGAUUUUUAUGUAACAAUAUAUUAUACUGUUUUUCUUACGUUUGAACCAUUCACUUUUCCGAAACAUUAUUUUUCCGUGAUUUUUUAAUUAUUUCUGGUGUUCGAUUUGAAUAGAUCGUAUGUUUGCUGUGAUUCCUAUGCAGAUUCGACCUAUUCAAAUCGAACACCAGAUUUAUUCAGUUUAAGAUUUUUUCCGUGCUUUGUUUUGUUGAUGUUUGUAACUUUUUUGAUGCAAAGGAAAGGAAAGAGAAAAAAGUGAAUAAGUUGAAACAUCAAUUUAAUCUUUUGUAAUCGAUAUUUUUCGCCGCUGUCGAUGCAUCCUCGCUGGUGUCGAACACGUUUGUUAUGCUCGGUUUCAUCGCCGGGGUCAUAUAUGACCCCUCCGGCUCCAAAGGGUUAAUGCCAAUAACAUGUUUAAAUCAGUGGUAAACCAGAUGUCCUAAGAACUGCAGGUCCAAGCAGGGGUGUGUAGAGUGCGAUGAGAGAAAUACGAAUGCAAUGUAGGCCAACCCGGAAAGAUGCAGGUCAGAUUACCGUAAAUCAGUAGAUGAGUUCAACACAGCCUCCUGUCACCGCAAUAC